AACGAACGCUGGCGGCAUGCCUAACACAUGCAAGUCGAACGAUAACCUUCGGGGUCUUGUGGCGUACCGGUGCGUAACGCGUCGGAAUCUGCCUUUAUGUUCGGCAUAACAGUUAGAAAUGACUGCUAAUACCGGCGGUUGACAUUAAGUCCAAAGAUGUAACGCCUGAGGAUGAGGCCGAAUAGGCUUCGCUGGUUGGUGUGGUAAGGGCGCACCAAGGCGAGGAUCCUUAGAUGGUAUGCGAGGAAGAGCAGCCACACUGGGGCUGAGACACGGCCGAGAAUCCUGCGCGAGGGGGGAGAGGGGGAUGUAGGACAAUGGGGGCAAGGCUGAAGCAGCACGGCCGGGUAAGUGAUGAAGGCGUUAGGGUAGUAAAGCACGUUUACCCGGGAUGAUAAUGACGGUACCGGGAGAAUAAGCCCCGGCUAACUCCGUG
This 436-nucleotide ribosomal RNA is filed under the name uncultured bacterium. Its description in RNAcentral is "partial 16S ribosomal RNA". It matches the Rfam family "Bacterial small subunit ribosomal RNA", at positions 29 to 507 of the family's 1533-position model. The record is from RNAcentral.